UCUAUUUCCAGAGGCGGAGGGAGAUGGCAGGGUGUGACCUCUUUCAGGGCCAGCAGCAGGUGUGGCUCAUGUGGGCUAAUGUCAGAGGCACCCUUCUGUCUGGGGUCAAAGGUUGGUAAGAAUGGGCAGACAGAGCUUCCACAUUGGUUCCAUGAAGGCAGGUGCAGACAGACUGGAGAACACGAUCAAUGAGUUUAUAUUCUGUUUUAUGCGCUUAAAGAAAUUCCAUAAACACGUGUAAUGCUUAAUUUUUAUUUUUAUUUCUAUUUUUGCAAAGACAGAUUGGAAGAAUGAUAAAAACCAGAAAAUCAGAAAAGAGGCGCAAUAUUCUAACUCUUUUGACCUAAUGUACUGAAUCACUAGAAUCAGUUCACUAAAAAGAUUCGUUCAAAAGAUUCAUUCACCAAAUCACAGAAUCACUUAGCGCUUAGCGGGGGAAGCCUGCGAUUCUGACCUCUUGAACUGAUACACAGCUGAACGUUUCAGGACUCAGUUCAAUUCAUAGCUUCUGGGUCUGGGAGAUGAGGGUGUUUGGCUGUGUCGCUUUGGCAAACAGGUUUGUGAAAGUGAACCAGGUCUGCUCAGUAAAUUGGGGUCAGUGAGUGAUUCGUUCGUUCUGAAAGUUUAGAAGAAUUCAAAGUGAACAUGCACCGUUCCCUCGCAAACCGCUGAAAUGAUAGGAUGCUGCGGGUUUAAUGCACUACUUGUUACAUGCUGUGUCCUAUUGUAUGCAAGUUGUUGUGGUCGCAAUUAAGCAGUGGAAAAAAAAGGUAGUUUUGUCCGACAAAAACGAUUCCAGAGAGUGUAGUUCAAUGUGUGAUUUGUCCACCAAGUGAAUCAGGCGUCAGUGCAUGUGGUCCCUCGUUUGCCUGCUGCUGGCCUGGCAAUGCUGUUUCUCACUUCAGCUCAACUGAAUGAAUCACUCGAGAAAGUGAUUCGGUUUAGUACAUUCACUUAAAAGAUUUGGUUCUUUUGAACGAAUCAUUUGUGAACGACGCAACACUAGCGUACUGUAAAAUCCACUCCCUUUGUGAGACCGACAGCUUUCUGGUGAUGUGUGUUUUUGUGACAUCCAGGUGACACUAAAGUUGCUGCGAAGGGACAAACUCAGAUGACACAGCAGAAAACUUGCAGGAGUAAAUAUUCCCUUCAAUUUUUUCUCAGUUUAAGAUUGUCCAGACUCGUCCACAGACUCCAUGCAAAGAAAAACAUCCACCCCUCCGUCUCGCAGCCUGUCACUGAUUACAUCUGUGCUGAUUCGGCUGCAGCCUUUGAUUUGAUCUCCUCUGAAGUCUCGUGUUUUGAAGCGCUUGAAUGCAAACUUCGGCCCACGAGUAGGGAGCCUCUCACAGCUGUGCACGGAUGCAGUUCACAGUCUGUGGGUGCAGCCACCCGACUGUGAGAGCACGCCAGACUGUGUUAAUGUGAUGGCAGGAAGCUGGCACAGACAUGGCUCCCCGUCUUGUUUCUUCAGUACAGUUGGCAGAGGGAAGCUGUGGGCAUGGUCCUCCUCUUGGCCCUGUGACGGUGUUAGGAGGGUUUGGGUUAGAGGCAGGCAGCUGGCAUCGAAUGCAGAGUCCGUGUUGACACAACACAUGAUCCCCAUCCCUCUAAAACAAGCUAGCCUCUUGGCAGAAGAGGGCAUCUUUUUGGCAGCGUGGGUUUGUCCCGUAGAAGUGUUGGCCUUGGCAGCGGACGGACUGUAUGCACACAGGGCUGGAAGUGUGGGAAAGUAGGAGACUAGGGUACAGGGCACUGCAACGGGCCAAGAGACUUACAUCAGGAGGGACCUGCUACAUAAACGGAAACCAUCUCAAUUUGAAAAUGCACUCUCAAAUCCUGCAGAUAAACAAAUAUAAAAGCAUGCUGCAAACAGAAAACAUGAUACAAAAAGCUUAAGUUAAUGAGUUUUAUUUGUUCUUUUGUUUUGUCAGGAUGCAAGAUCAAAUUUUCACUCAUGCAAGUGUUUUUCCAAAAGCAUCUUACAAGCAACCCAGAGCCUGACAAUGCUAAUUAGGGGAGUAGUAAAUAACGGUAUCAUCUGCAUAUGAAUUUAAAACUGCAGUAGGGACAUUUGGACCAAUACUGUUACCAUCAAUUGUAAAUACCAGUAGUCCCAAGACAGAGCCCUGGGGUACGCCAUUUAUUAUUUCAAGAUAUCUAGAGGAUAUCUAGAGGAAAUCACAAAGGUUCCCAUAGGAUAAAUGGACUUGUUACUGACUUGCCUCUGAACACUUAAGUAGUCACAAUCCCAGCCUGUAACUUUUUACAGUUUUUGUUCCUCAAACUCAUGAGUGAUGACUUUGUUCCCUGCAGCUUGGUUUUCAUUGCUUUCAAAUUGGCAGAACUUUUCUUCUUGUUCACAAAGUGCCAAUCAAAUCUAACUGAUCUCAUCCACUUGAUGGUUGUGCCUUUGGGAGCAACUUAAGGUUUAGUGUUUUGCCCAAGGACACUUUGACAUGUAACUGCAGGAGCGACGGAUCAGACUACUGACAUUUCGAUUGAGAGAUGACCCACUUUACCUCGAUGCCAAAGCCAAGUUUGAACCUGCCAGCUCUAGUGCUUUAGCUCUAGGAAACUAAAAUAAAGAGGGCGGAUGGAUUGAGAAAGAUAAACAGAGAAUCUUGCGCCCCUGUGUCAGUCUUAACAUUAGGAUGGGCUCACAUGGGAGGCUCCUGAUGAGUGUUGAAGUGGUGGGUCUAUGAAUAGUCAGGGCAGAGACUCACAGAUGUUUGUCCACAUCACAAAGACUCAGAAAUACCCAGAGCCAAAUAUCAGGUUCAGCUUUCUGCAGAGUCUUUAUCUUCAUCACUGGAGUCCAGAUGGUGUGGGGGUGUUCCCACUAACAAAGCUAGGAGAGUACUGGUAGAGGUUUGUCAGGGGUAAUGUACUCUAAUCAGUACAUUUACAGUAUUGACUGAAUGCAUGUAAACAUAGGCGUGUAUAAGGGCAAAGAUAGACUGAGCAUGUUUGGACCUGUUUGACAUUUUUGUGUAUGAAGGUAAAAGUCAUGAGUUAUUAUCUCUCCAUGCAGCUUGUUGUUUCCACUGUGUACUCACUCUCUUUAUCUGAGGUUUACUUUCACUUUGGGGGCGGUUUUAUUUGGAAAAGUAAAAUCCAGUAUAUUGAAUGAAUUUGCCCACAUCUAUAAAUCACAGUCAUUUUUUCUUAUUAAGAAGUAAGCAGGAGUGGGUUGUAAACAAAUUCAAAGCUACCCAUGCCAUGGUCACUUAUGAUCCCAAGACGAGUUUUGAACUAUGAUGGCCUCCCUUCUCUUUGGAGCACAGGAUGCAACAUCCGUGAUUUCCAAAAAUAAAGUCAAAUUUUGUUUCAUCAGACCACAGGACAGUUUCCCACUUUCAGUCCAUUUCACACCCGGAGACAUCUCUGGUGUUUCUGGAUCAUGUUUCUAUUUGGUUUCCUCUUUGAAUUCUUUAGUUUUACCUGCUGAAAUGUGUUCACAGACAAUAGUUUUUGGAAGGGAUUUUGUGCCCAUGCAGUGAUUUCCCUCUUUUUUAAUACGGUGCUGCCUGAAGGUCUUAAAAUCAGGAGUAUACUGUACUGAUUUUGUAUUCAAAAAUAUGAGCAGAUUGUGACCUUUGUCCCAUUUCUGUGACGAUGAAAACUCCCACUAUCAUUACAGAUGAGUCCUGACUCCCUCUAAUAGGGACUGACAGGCAGGUUUGACUCUCGUGGAGGUAAUUAUCUGACCUCAUGCUUCCCUUCAAUUACACAACCAUUAAGUUCCCCAUUAUCAUUAUCACACUGACUGAUCUGUGACCUCUGACUGUAUGCGUGACAUCCUCAAAAUCCUGCAUUAACCCUGAGUUAAGAUAAUAUAACCGAACUAAGAUAUCGGAAUAGUAAGGAAUAGAGACACCUCCUCUUUAUUACAUUACCGAUGACUAAAAUGAUUUUAAAUGGAACUGAAAUGAUGAAAUUCAACCUCAUCUCCACCUAGGGAAUGAAAUCACCGCUCUCCCCGAGCAGAUACUUUCCACACACUCGGACACACACACUCACAGUCCAGUGAUUGUGAUGGGAAGUUUGCAGAGCGUGUGGGUGUGUUGGAGCUGACAGAGCGUUGAAUUUAUUGCAGCGGAGGUUCAUGCGGCUGAACAGAAAGUUCAGCAGCAGGUGUCAGAUGGUUUUCUAAAGACUCAUUUCUCAACAGGAAGAAGUCGCAGGGGACUUUUGGCUUAUUUGGUAACUAAGGAACAAUAUCAACAAUGUUUGUAUGGUGACAAAAGUGAGAUUUCAGAAGCAGGAAAAACACUAAACAGAAGCUGUUGUGACAACAGAAUUAAGUCUGACGGUUAUGUAACUGAUUUAUCUCUCUGCACAGUCAUAUUGUGCUCUUCUUCAUUCUCACUUUCUACUCUCAGGUUUCCCUGGGGGUUUACACAUUUAUACUAACUGCAUUUGACGGUAAAUUUUGGUAACGUUGCUCAUGUGGUGAAUAUUUGUUGAGAUUUGAACACUGAAUCCUACGUUCUCUCUCUAUUUUAAAGUUUGUACAAGAAGUGAAAGUAGACUCAGACACAAUAAAAAGGACAAUAGUCAGCGGUUGGAUGGUUGAGAGGGCAGACACUGACGGUCUAUGCAACAAAAGACACUGCAUUUAUACUGAUUUAGUGCUUCAAUCUGACUGAAACUGGACUUAAAAACAUGUUAGUUUGACUGAAAUCGCACUGAAUUAAGUUCCUUGAAGUCCAACUAACAUGUCAGGAUAAUGUGGCUGGAGCUUGAUUUUCUUUUUCAUGUGUAGACCUCAAUAAGACUCAAGCUGGUCUAAGCUUUCGGCUCAUGCUCCUCCAAAGUCUGCACACUGGAGACUGGAGGCAAAAAGAGUAAAAACUGGAGGCAAACACAUAAGGCAGAAUGCGACAUAAGGGCUCUAAAAUGACAUAUUUUACUAUAUAUUACUGUGAAUUUGCUCUUUUUCUCAAAAUAAGUCUUGAAGAAGUGGAGCCAUUUUGGAUUUAGGUCAGUAUGGUAUCAUUCUCCAAGAAGAGGAACUUUCUUCCCAUACAGCUGUAACAGAUCCUGAUAAAUGGAUCAUUAGAUGUCAAGGUUUUGGCAUCCAUUUCAUGCAAAAAAUGCAGUGAUAUCACUGGGCUCAGAGCCUUCUGGACGCUCAGCUUCAGCUUUUUUCUCCCUGAGCUCCUCUAAACUGAGCGAACACUUCCUCUGAGCUGGACUGACUCAAACUGGAAGAGUUGAAAUGAGGAGAAACUAAAGAUAUGACUGUGUUCAGAUUCAACCGUCUGUUUCUGACACAAAGAGAAACUUCUGCAACUGACUUAUUUCUGCAGCUCAUUUCUUUUGCAUGCAGUAAGUCCACCCUCGGUGCUGGCAGAUUAAAUCCAGAUCAUGUCGAUUAUUGUGAAUCAUGCAGGACGUCUACGUGGCCCAGAAACGGUCUGCAAGGUUCUGACUCAGAGGGAAGGGUCUGUUAGUGUGAGGGGAGAGUGACCAAGUAUUUCCAAACUGAUGAGUCACUGCAAAGCUGCACAUGUAACAGAUGGGGUCUACACAGAAGGGAAGAAGGGAGACUGCUUUUCAUUUACUGCGCUUCAGAUUUACAGUUCAGGGGAAGGAAAAUUCUCACAGACGACAAAUCUGGAGGAUAAAAUCUGGAUAUAAGUGGGUGUAAAUCCUCAGACUGGGCUCUUCUCCUCUCUCAUAUUGUCACUUUGAGACGUCUGGAUCACAUCUGUCUCUCUGUCCAUUUCCCCUCUUUCAUCCUUUUGUCCCUCUGAAUACCAAUGCAGAGUAUUUAGCAUUUUCCUCUGAUUCUUCCUGAUGAAUCAUGUUGCAUUUUAGCAAAGUUAACUUCAUUUUUGCAGACAAAGACCUUUGUUGAUAAUUUACUCCCUACAUUAUGCUGACUCCUGUCACCCCUCCUCCUGCUUUCACUUUACCUCCCAUCCUCCUGUUUAAUCUCUUCAUCCCUCCCUUUUUGCUCCUUCUCUCCACCCUCCUCCAUCACUCCACAGAUGAACUUGUCCCUGCCAGCUGUCUUUUCUGCAUUUCUUUACCUCUCUCGUCCACUCCUUUCUUUCACUAUUAGCACGUGUUUUAGAGGAGUGAGUGUGUUUUCUCCCCCUCUAUCUCCACCCUCCCUCUCCUUCCUUAGAGCUUCGUGCCCUGUGGCCGGGUUAGAGAGGUGGGUCAGGGUUUAGCUCCAGGCCUGCAGCACCCUGUUAUUAAAGCUGAUUUAAAAUGCGAGUAGACUUUCUUUCUAUGGGAACUGGACCCUGAGGGGGGAAACCUCACCUGAGCUCACCUCACUGACAGAAACAACUCUUUUACACUGUUUACAGCCUCGAUGCUGCUGACCCACAUGCAACAAAGAAGAAAGGAAAGUGUUUUUCACCUCAGUGAUCAUCCACAAGUGUCUGAUAUGCCUCUUUCUGGACUCUGAUGUGCAGAAAAGAGGUGUAUAAACCAGGUUUAUAUUAAACUUUCAGCUUAGAAUAAGUGUCUAGUGGAAGAAAACUACAAAAAGUAAACCAUUGUUCUCCGAGACAGCUUUAACGAAACCAGCUGUCUCUGUUUCCAAAUGUUGCUUCAAGAGAAGAAACAGACAGAGAGGACAACUCAGGAUAAAACCAAAGAGCCCAAGCAACGCAACCAUUCAGACAAAACAUGCUGGUUUAAAAAGGGGUAAAAGUUCUUUAAGGCAGCAGAUAUGAUAAUGUCAGCAUGGGUGUGAAUUACAGCAGAGUCUAGUAAAAGUUUGAAGUAAACUUCAGCGAAAAGUUUACCAUUAAAUGACUCUGACAUUGAAAUCACUUCAGUCCAGAGGUGUUGACCAAUAAUUACCUCAUCACCCCUUUUCUUGCAACCAGCUUUCAACAACUUCCAUGGAAACUCAAUGCUGUUUAGCGAAUACCAUGAGCUUAAGGGCCUGUGCACACUAACUGCAUUUUUUUUCCACUGGCAGCGCUCAAGUCCUCAUCUGCAAAGUACCUCUUAUCAGCACUUUCUGUUACUAAGUUGUGUUGUGGUUCUUCUGUAACGCCAGCGUUGUGAACUCAUUUGUAACUUUCAAUUUAUACAUUUUGCCAAAAAUUAAACAUGUUUACAGUCUGUCUCAAAAUACAGUUUUGGUUUUUGGCUCAGAGAUCCAAUGACAAAUUCUGUACAGGAACCAUGACUGCUUUGAAUUGUAAAUAACAGUUUGUUUUUUUUACUACUUGAUCUUCCAUGUACCUGUCUUCAUCACAGGAUGAGUAAAAAACAACUUUGUGUAUAGUAGCUAUAGAAACAAAAGGGUGGCUCAAAUCACCAAUACACUACGAUUGCAUUUUGUAUGAGCAGAGAGAGCUUGACUUUUGCAUUUGCAUCCAUUUGUUUAGCAAACCAAGACGAGCUUAAGAUUGUAAAUUAGGUGGUUGUUCAGUGGAAACUGGGCUGAUGAGCUCAUGCUGACUUAAGUAGAAAGUAAACAUCACUAAAGCAAAACGAUGAGCUAAAACUUUCUGCAGAUAUUCUUUAAUUUCACCCUGAUAUUUUGCAGUACGUCAGUAAAACUCUCUCUCUCUCUUGUGUUGAACAGAUGCACAGGUCUGAGUGACAGCAGUGAUUUAAGCCGAAAGGUGAGCAGGUUCUUAAAAGCACUUGUGUCAACACUUUGCAUUUACCCGCAGAGCUACUCCUAAAAACUCCCUCCUCAGGGCGAACACUCCUCUUUUAUGAUCCUGAAACGACCUGAAGGAGUCUGUUUCAUUUCCAGGAGAGCUGGAGCUGCAGGGCAUCAGUGAAAUCAGCCCAAUAAUUACAACCCACUGCAGGACAAACACAGUCCUCUCUUUGACAGAGGACAGAGGGUUCAGAGUCUUUUGUCUCAGUCACAAGCCUGCUGUGUGGGUUUAAAAGAGAGUCAAUAACAGUAAAAAGUUUGUUUUACUUUUCCUCAGACGGCUCUGUCCAUUCAUGCUCUGAUUUACGAGCAAGUCAGAGACAAUAACUUCAAACCUGUCUUAAAAUCUGCAGGUUUUAAGGAGUGUGUCUGGAAAUGACUCGAAAUUUCACUGCAGUUAUUCUUCUCCUCCAAACAAUGCAAAAGUUGAGGAAGAAGGUUGAAUUUGUUGCAGCAAAUGCAACUUUAAUGCACCAAAAAUUUGUACUUGAAGAGUAGUUUAUCACUGACACACUCAUGCGAAAACCUUGAUCUGUCAUCUCGUCAUCAUUCACAGCACAAAUACAUGAAAAAAAAAAUUCCAUCACAGACUCAACAAGACGCUACUCGCUUCCUGCCCUCACUGAACUCCCACAUUUAUCAUGAACAGUAACUUAUGUGGAGUUUAACUGUGAGGGCUGUAAGUCAACUGGUGUCUGGACAUUAUCUCGCCUUAGAGGACAAUUUUGCUGAACUUUCAGUUCAAACAAGCAAAAACAAGCCCAUUCAGUGCAAAAAAAAGUUGUUUUAGGUGAUGAAUGUGGCCUGAAUGAGAUGACAUUGACUCAAGUGUUAAAGAUCUCCACUCAGAUGUGUGUUUCCAGGACUGUUAUUAGACUCAGCUCUGUCCAUACCAUGACAUUAAGUAUAUAAACAGCAAAGUCUUGCACAGGAGGGUGCAGGGAUUCUUGCUAUGUUGGCCAAAAAAAUGCAGCUGAUAAAGAAACAACAUCUUUCAUCCACUUAUUGUAUGCACAGAUUUCAUUCCUUUUACAGCAUUUUGCAUUCACAUCAUUGUCUGCAGCAUCUGUACUUAGUUUUCAUAUGAUAAGCAAAAGUAUGCGAUAAAAGUGUAAUAGUCCAGCUGCCUUUAAAACCAAAAAUAUAUGUUUUGUGUGUCCCUGUUUGCAAAGCUUGUGCAUGAAAGUCUAUAAUAGUGUAACUAUGACCAACAAGUGCAACCUCACUGGAAAAAUCAGAGUGGUUUACUACACAGAAAUGUAAUGAAACUAUCCUGUUUGACAACAUAUACAGGAGUCCAUGCAUGCAAAGACGAUAAAGUGCUGUACAAUUCAGACAGAAAAGCACUGGGAUGAAUUGACUACAAAUGUAAAGAUAAUCCACAGUCAAAAACAUACAAAUGCAUGCAAAAGAAAAACUCUGCGAACCAAAUUAGUUCAACAGAAGAGCACAAGCCUGCAGGAAUGCCUUUAGACACAGGUUUAUUUCAGACCAGAGAGUUAAGGACAUGUGUUUUCAACC
Non-coding RNA from Xyrichtys novacula (pearly razorfish), 9169 nucleotides. Lineage: Eukaryota; Metazoa; Chordata; Actinopteri; Labriformes; Labridae. The record is from the annotation of a GenBank genome assembly.